Molecule: long non-coding RNA, 1109 nt
Filed under: Ornithorhynchus anatinus (platypus)
Lineage: Eukaryota; Metazoa; Chordata; Mammalia; Monotremata; Ornithorhynchidae
Description: lncRNA (ENSOANG00000047934.1)
Source: RNAcentral
GGUUUCUUGGAAGGUCUGGUCUGCCCGGCAAUCUUUUCUCUUCCUGAACUCUCCUUGUGCUCAGAAUGGCUCCCCGACCACUUACAAAGUGGGUCCUGUGCGAACCAUUUUAUGUUCAUUGUCCUUUCUAGGGACUUGGCUCCAUGGAGUUCUUCAAAAGAGGAAUUAAAGACUCAGGGACCGUGCCAUUCGCUGUGCUUCUCAAAUCAUCAUCAGCUGCUUUUGAGGAUGAACAACAGAGCCCCAGGAGCUGCUCCCAUAAAUGACUUCCAAUACAUUGCGGAGAGAGACUAUUAUUCAGAUGCCUGCUAUUACACGGCCUGCACUCGGCCGUUCCACACCGCGCCUCUCCUGACUCGCUUUCAGAGAUCCACUGUCGUCAGCAAAGGGAGAGUGGGCCUGGAGCUUCCGGGAAAGUGCUCUGAGUUGGUGAAAGCUCCCGGAAUGGCAGGCAUUCACAGUUGCAAGUUGCCACCUGGAACCAAUCCACUGAAAGAACCUACAGAAUGGGAGGUGAAGCCAAGGGUAACUGAAGAGACUGGCCUUUUCUCCCUCUAUUAUUAACUGCAAAUCAUUCUUGUCAUGUUAGAAAGCAGAUUGUUUCUUCAAGUGUUAUUCACCAUUAUGCUCUGGAUCACAUCUCUUGACCUUCUUGCGGGGAACUUAAAGUCCAUUUCCAAUUAACAUGUGCUCAUUGCGGAGCUGUGGUUUAUCUGUAUAUGGAAGUCUUUGUUAUUUUAUCACUCGGUAGAGGAAUUAUAUUUUCCAUUUCUCCCCACUAAAUGUCACACUCUGGCCAAACUUUCCGAUUUAUUUUUGUUGCUGCUUUAUUUCGUCUGACAACAGAAAAGAAUGAAAAGGCCAAUUUGCAGGCUUUCAAUUUCUGCUCUUAGUGAGCUGAAAAAUUAGUCACACAACCGAGGGGCAAACAGAGAAAAGGAUUGUUUUUUUAAUGUAAUAAAAAAACUAUUACUUUAAUGCAACUGCUCCAUUUCAAGCUUAACUAAAGCCACCACUUUGGUAGAGACGUACACUGUAAAAUUCUCUCAGCCUCUGGGUUUUAAAAUAAAAUACCUAAUUUUAUACUAUGCAUGGAGGUUUUAUCCCCG